AUAAAACGCAGCAGAUGCCCUGAGCUUUGGAAGAAUUAGAUGAGCCAGGCCUCAUGUACCCUUCAAACCUUUCGCCACCUCUUGAAAGCCAGCAUUGCCAACAGAGACCUUCAAACAGGCAAAACCCUCCACGCACUAUACCUCAAAUCUCUAAUUCCUUUCUCAACCUUUCUCUCCAACCACUUCAUCAUCCUCUACUCCAAAU
RNAcentral lists this unclassified non-coding RNA (205 nucleotides) under Hevea brasiliensis (rubber tree). Lineage: Eukaryota; Viridiplantae; Streptophyta; Magnoliopsida; Malpighiales; Euphorbiaceae. The record is from RNAcentral.